GAGUACGACCGCAAGGUUGAAACUCAAAGGAAUUGACGGGGGCCCGCACAAGCGGUGGAGCAUGUGGUUUAAUUCGAAGCAACGCGAAGAACCUUACCAGGUCUUGACAUCCUUUGACCACUCUAGAGAUAGAGCUUUCCCUUCGGGGACAAAGUGACAGGUGGUGCAUGGUUGUCGUCAGCUCGUGUCGUGAGAUGUUGGGUUAAGUCCCGCAACGAGCGCAACCCUUAUUGUUAGUUGCCAUCAUUUAGUUGGGCACUCUAGCGAGACUGCCGGUGACAAACCGGAGGAAGGUGGGGAUGACGUCAAAUCAUCAUGCCCCUUAUGACCUGGGCUACACACGUGCUACAAUGGGAAGUACAACGAGUCGCUAGACCGCGAGGUCAUGCAAAUCUCUUAAAGCUUCUCUCAGUUCGGAUUGCAGGCUGCAACUCGCCUGCAUGAAGCCGGAAUCGCUAGUAAUCGCGGAUCAGCACGCCGCGGUGAAUACGUUCCCGGGCCUUGUACACACCGCCCGUCACACCACGAGAGUUUGUAACACCCGAAGUCGGUGAGGUAACCUUUUUGGAGCCAGCCGCCUAAGGUGGGAUAGAUGAUUGGGGUGAAGUCGUAACAAGGUAACCAAGGGCGAAUUCGCGGCC
Molecule: ribosomal RNA, 641 nt
Filed under: uncultured bacterium
Lineage: Bacteria
Description: bacterial SSU rRNA
Rfam family: Bacterial small subunit ribosomal RNA
Source: RNAcentral